This 1656-nucleotide long non-coding RNA is filed under the name Vulpes vulpes (red fox). RNAcentral describes it as "lncRNA (ENSVVUG00000019427.1)". Lineage: Eukaryota; Metazoa; Chordata; Mammalia; Carnivora; Canidae. The record is from RNAcentral.
UCCAACCCUAAGCUUGCCAUUGAUAUCCACUGCCUAACAGAACUGUCACAAUAAAAUUAUUAUGAUGUCAUUUCCCUUGUCAUAUUAUAGAUGAGGAAAGUAGAGCCCAAAGAUGUUAUAUUACUUGCCCAAGUUCACAUACAAAUGAUGAAACUGGAAUUUGCAUCUGCAUCUCAUUCCCUCACCCAAGUUUGAAGGAAGACAGGUUGUUGGGGCUGGAAUAUAUUAACAACUAGUUAAUAAGGGAAGAAACGCUGCUUUACAUACCUCUCAGAUUGUCAGCUCUGCUCCACUCCAGUACUCUGUAAAUAGCGUUCUUCUUAUCAGCAAGUAAUGCUGCUUCUCAUUUAAAACAAGUAGUGUAGUUAGAGUGUCCUUUGAUGGUCCUUCAAGAGCGACUGGCCCAGGAAACCAGCAAGGGAGGGGAAUAUGGGGGGCGUAGAGUAAGAGGCACAUAUAAAUCAAAGCAGGUCACUGCGAAUCCUUUCCCAGAAGCUUUUACAUGGAGCUUUUAUGUGAAGCUUUUACAUGGAACUGAGACUUGGUCUCCUCCUGGUGGGAGAAUUGUGAGCUGUGUGUUGCUGGAGUCCUGGUUCCAGGGGAGGAUGAGACCCCAUGUGAGACCUCACAACCAGGGGGAAGGCACAGAAGCUUGACUGAAGUGCAGGCAGGAAACAGCAGCAUCAGGAGCAAGAAUGACUGAACAACCGACCAACUACUUACUUCCAAUCAGACAGUGCCUUUGAGUCAAAACGACGCCCACCACCUUGAAAGGUCUACUCUCUCUCUCUGUCAUUUUCCUGUGGACUGGACAGGAUCUGAGGUCGGGCUCAGGAAGAGAAAACAUCUCCUCACAUCGCCUGGAAACCACCUAACCCAUUGGCCUUCUGGCAGGCAUGUUCUCAUUCAGCUGGAUGUCACCCAAAAUUCCACAAGAAGCUACUAAGUGUGGUAGCAGGUACUUGCUGGCUCUACUGACACCUCAUUAGCGUGACCCCCAGUCCUGUCCUGAUGCCCCUCUGCUUUUUUCCGCCCCCAACACUACUUUUGCUGGCACACCCCAGCUAUAAUGAGCCACCUCCAUCUGAAGAGCCCAGUGUCUCUUUCCAUCCAGACAUGAGAGGGAUAUGGGCAGAAGGGCAGGUCAAAGCCAGCCAACACUGCCCAACACCACCCUAGUCUUAAAAUAACACAAGGAACCCAAGGCACAAAAUGAGACUGCUAUCAGCCUCCCUCCUCUCCCAACCAUCCCCCCACCAGGAUCUUACAUCUGUUUCCUUGGAAAUGAAAGAUUUUUUUUGCAAAUGCUAGAUAACAAUGUGUCAUUCUGAGCGUUUCUCCAUGUAUAUGUACAAUCAUCUUAUUUAUCAUCAUUAUCUGCCACUAACCCACUUUUCUCCCCUUUUAUCCUUACUAUCUUGCUUAAUUUGAAGUGUGUAGCAUGAGAGGGGAAAUUUGGUGGGGGAAAUUACCAGUUCCAGCAUGACAUGGGAGGUAUGUUUUGAAAAAAGUGACUGGGAAAUCGUGAAAAAGUUCCAUCCUGAAUAAUUGGUCCAUCUAUCUUCUGCUCUGCAGGGAGAUGAGCCUCCCUCCUCCUGUCCAUUCUAGUGCGCUGUCCCUACUCUGAAAUGCUCAGCAUCUUGUACUUGUCUGGCA